UGAAAGACGGUCUUGCUGUCACUUAUAGAUGGAUCCGCGCUGCAUUAGCUAGUUGGUAAGGUAACGGCUUACCAAGGCAACGAUGCAUAGCCGACCUGAGAGGGUGAUCGGCCACACUGGAACUGAGACACGGUCCAGACUCCUACGGGAGGCAGCAGUAGGGAAUCUUCCGCAAUGGGCGAAAGCCUGACGGAGCAACGCCGCGUGAGUGAUGAAGGUCUUCGGAUCGUAAAACUCUGUUAUUAGGGAAGAACAUAUGUGUAAGUAACUGUGCACAUCUUGACGGUACCUAAUCAGAAAGCCACGGCUAACUACGUGCCAGCAGCCGCGGUAAUACGUAGGUGGCAAGCGUUAUCCGGAAUUAUUGGGCGUAAAGCGCGCGUAGGCGGUU
This 391-nucleotide ribosomal RNA is filed under the name Staphylococcus aureus. Its description in RNAcentral is "bacterial SSU rRNA". It matches the Rfam family "Bacterial small subunit ribosomal RNA", at positions 201 to 580 of the family's 1533-position model. The record is from RNAcentral. Lineage: Bacteria; Bacillati; Bacillota; Bacilli; Caryophanales; Staphylococcaceae.